AUCAGUAUUUAUGGCAUGUCAGACUGCCUUUGAUGGAGACUGCCCUUUCUCCCUCCCUCCUUCUCUUCCUCCUUCCCUCCCUCUUGUCUUGCCUAAGCAGGCUGUAGCAGUAAUUCUAGCAUUCCCAUCAUUUGUAUCAUCAAAAGGAUGCUCGCUGGCUGUGGCUGCUUGGCUCUAUCUCCUCCUUGGUCAGAGGAAAUGGAAGUGCUGCAGCGGCUGCAGACUCGCAGACCCGAGGGCGAGUAGCAGCGGACAAACAGCGCCAGGACCGACGCCGGGGGCUGCGGGGGAGGGACAGUGAAAAGAUUUCCCACGGCUGAAGACAACAGCCCCUGCCGCAGGAGCCAGAUGUUCCCUGCCAGCCCUCCCUGUGAUUGUAGUGCAGCGCUAGAGCACCCCGAGACCCCCAGCGGAUUUGGACUCCAAUCCAGCCCACGGUGGCAAGCGGCCAUCUGCCAUCUGCAGAGCUGGUACAGCAGGAACAGAGAGGGAAGAAGGAUGAUUAGCUGGGGUUUACUCUCUGAGGAAGAAAACAGCAUGGAGAAACACAGGGACCUGCCUACAUGGGGAGCUCAUAUCAGCGCUGCAAAAUCAUUGCCUGUGGGACUUGAGACCUGUUAAGCACACCUGAAACAUGGCCUGUGGCUCACACCAAGGGUAUUCUGUACAUGGAUUUGUCCAGCCCUUCACUGUCUGCACAGCCAGGCCCCAAGAUCAGAGGGCCAUGCAGAAGGCAGGAAGAUCAUGGCUGUGUUCACUGGGGUGUGGGAUGGGGACCCCACAGUUCUCACAGUACCUUGUCCCUUGUCUUGGGCUCGGGGGGAGGGAGGGAAACCUUCCAGUUUAGGGCUUUUAAACUGACAGUCUGCAAACUCUUCAAAAGAACCCAAAUAUAUCAGAGAAAAGGACAAUUAGAGGGGCUUAAACCAUCUGUGAACCCAUCCUGGCACAUCCUGGCACACAUCCAAAGGCAUUUUGGAGCCUUUUCUGACCAGGGUUAAGAAGCAGAUUCAGUUCUGCUCCCCACAUGCCAGCCCUGUGACUUGAAGAAUUUUUUGUGAUGCAACAAUGCACUUCAAAAGAAAA
Corvus hawaiiensis (hawaiian crow) is the source of this 1086-nucleotide long non-coding RNA. RefSeq lists it as uncharacterized. The transcript has 3 exons. NCBI's taxonomy places the organism in Eukaryota, Metazoa, Chordata, Aves, Passeriformes, Corvidae. The record is from RefSeq and is a predicted model, not a curated record.